UACGUAGGGGCAAGCGUUGUCCGGAAUUAUUGGGCGUAAAGGGCACGCAGGCGGUCCUUUAAGUCUGAUGUGAAAUCUUGCGGCUUAACCGCAAGCUGUCAUUGGAAACUGAAGGACUUGAGUGCAGAAGAGGAGAGUGGAAUUCCACGUGUAGCGGUGAAAUGCGUAGAGAUGUGGAGGAACACCAGUGGCGAAGGCGACUCUCUGGUCUGCAACUGACGCUGAGGUGCGAAAGCGUGGGUAGCGAACAGGAUUAGA
Molecule: ribosomal RNA, 258 nt
Filed under: uncultured prokaryote
Description: partial 16S ribosomal RNA
Rfam family: Bacterial small subunit ribosomal RNA
Source: RNAcentral